UACGGAGGGAGCUAGCGUUGUUCGGAAUUACUGGGCGUAAAGCGCACGUAGGCGGCUACUCAAGUCAGAGGUGAAAGCCCAGGGCUCAACCCUGGAACUGCCUUUGAAACUAGGUAGCUAGAAUCUUGGAGAGGUCAGUGGAAUUCCGAGUGUAGAGGUGAAAUUCGUAGAUAUUCGGAAGACACCAGUGGCGAAGGCGACUGACUGGACAA
Molecule: ribosomal RNA, 212 nt
Filed under: uncultured Sphingomonadales bacterium
Lineage: Bacteria; Pseudomonadati; Pseudomonadota; Alphaproteobacteria; Sphingomonadales
Description: partial 16S ribosomal RNA
Rfam family: Bacterial small subunit ribosomal RNA
Source: RNAcentral